AUAUCGAUGUAUUCUGUUUCAUUUACGAUUUUAAACAGAUACAGUUGUUUAUUUCCCAACACAGAAAAUAUGCAGACUAAAGCACUCGUAUUGGUCCUGGUAAUAGCCAUUGCAAUGGUGUCAACAGUGAGGGCCAGUAAAUGUAAGACGAUUUGUAAUGAUGAGGUUAGAAUCUGCAAGUUGGAGUUUUGUUUAAGCCACAGCGACAAAUCUUGCAAAAAGAAGUGCAAUAAGAUCAAGAAAGACUGCAUGGCGCUGUGCAAAUUUGAUAAACGACGUAAUGUUCAUGCACCUUAUGAGGUCAAAGAGGAUCUUGAUGAUGAAGAUAACGAUGAAUAAACUGUUCAUUGAUACAUUUUAUGUUAAUCAUACGAAAUAAAUCAAUCUGUAAAUCA
Mytilus californianus (California mussel) is the source of this 395-nucleotide long non-coding RNA. RefSeq lists it as uncharacterized. Lineage: Eukaryota; Metazoa; Mollusca; Bivalvia; Mytilida; Mytilidae. The record is from RefSeq and is a predicted model, not a curated record. The transcript is spliced from 2 exons.